RNAcentral lists this ribosomal RNA (479 nucleotides) under uncultured bacterium. Its description in RNAcentral is "partial 16S ribosomal RNA". It matches the Rfam family "Bacterial small subunit ribosomal RNA", at positions 28 to 506 of the family's 1533-position model. The record is from RNAcentral.
GAUGAACGCUAGCGGCAGGCCUAACACAUGCAAGUCGAGGGAGAGGUUACCUUCGGGUAACCAAAACCGGCGCACGGGUGCGUAACGCGUAUACAAUCUGCCUUUCACAUAGGGAUAGCCCGAAGAAAUUUGGAUUAAUACCUAAUGGUAUAUAAGAGCGGCAUCGUUUUUAUAUUAAAGCUACGGUGGUGAAAGAUGAGUAUGCGUUCUAUUAGCUAGUUGGAGAGGUAACGGCUCCCCAAGGCGACGAUAGAUAGGGGUUCUGAGAGGGAUGUCCCCCACACUGGUACUGAGAUACGGACCAGACUCCUACGGGAGGCAGCAGUGAGGAAUAUUGGACAAUGGUCGGAAGACUGAUCCAGCCAUGCCGCGUGCAGGAUGAAGGUCCUAUGGAUUGUAAACUGCUUUUGUAAGGGAAGAAUAAGGAGUACGUGUACUUUGAUGACGGUACCUUACGAAUAAGCAUCGGCUAACUCCGU